AAUCCAUGUUGCGGGCACUUCCUCAGGAGCUCCUUGAACCUUUCCCAUGUCUCGAAUAGAGACUCCAAUUCUAACUGAACAAAGGAUACGAUCUUGUUCCUAAGCUU
This is a small nucleolar RNA of Dioscorea cayenensis subsp. rotundata (Guinea yam), 107 nucleotides long. The record is from RefSeq and is a predicted model, not a curated record. Lineage: Eukaryota; Viridiplantae; Streptophyta; Magnoliopsida; Dioscoreales; Dioscoreaceae.